UACGGGGGGGGCAAGCGUUGUUCGGAAUUACUGGGCGUAAAGGGCUCGUAGGCGGCCAACUAAGUCAGACGUGAAAUCCCUCGGCUUAACCGGGGAACUGCGUCUGAUACUGGAUGGCUUGAGUUUGGGAGAGGGAUGCGGAAUUCCAGGUGUAGCGGUGAAAUGCGUAGAUAUCAGGAGGAACACCGAUGGCGAAGGCAGGUCUCUGGGCCAUAACUGACGCUGAGAAGCGAAAGCAUGGGGAGCGAACAGG
Molecule: ribosomal RNA, 253 nt
Filed under: uncultured bacterium
Lineage: Bacteria
Description: partial 16S ribosomal RNA
Rfam family: Bacterial small subunit ribosomal RNA
Source: RNAcentral